RNAcentral lists this ribosomal RNA (489 nucleotides) under Triticum aestivum (bread wheat). RNAcentral's name for it is "partial small subunit ribosomal RNA". The record is from RNAcentral. Lineage: Eukaryota; Viridiplantae; Streptophyta; Magnoliopsida; Poales; Poaceae.
AUGUUUUUCUUCGCUUUUACGAGGUUGCGCAUGAACCGUACGAAAUCUCACAAGCCGAUGUUUCAGAAUAAAGAAUGUGAUGCCAGUGUUGGUUCUAUUGCUAAAGCGUUUGUCCCCACUGGCAUGCUCAACUCAGACAAUGCUGACGUUGUUUCAUAUUCUCUACGUCAGAAGUACCGAGGCACUGACAAGUUGAUAGUUCCCAGAUGGACCAAGAUCUGUGAUGGAAAUAUUGAUUCCAAUGUGCUAAAUUGGUUCACGAGAUCUUGUGCUGAUGGUUUUGACCAAUGGAGUGAUGCAGUUAGAUUCUUAAGGACUAUGACAGAUAGCAUAAAGAAGCUUUGGAGGGAGUCUAGCAUAGACAGGGCGAAACCGUUCUCGUCGGCGCAUAUUGAUGGUUUCUCUUGCGAGUUUGUGCAGGUGCCGCAGCAGAAAAACACGCAUGGUUGUGGAUUCUUUAUGCUACAAAGCUGCAAGACCUAUCAUUGA